This 2157-nucleotide ribosomal RNA is filed under the name human gut metagenome. Its description in RNAcentral is "bacterial LSU rRNA". The stretch from base 1 to 1723 matches the Rfam family "Bacterial large subunit ribosomal RNA", at positions 224 to 2044 of the family's 2925-position model. The record is from RNAcentral.
AUCAACCGAGAUUCCGUAAGUAGUGGCGAGCGAACGCGGAAGAGGCCAAACCGAGAGAAGAAAUUCUUUCGGGGUUCGGACUGCAUUUAGUAUUCCUGAUCUUUAGUCGAACAGUCUGGGAAGGCUGACGAGAGAGUGUGAGAGUCACGUAGACGAAAAGGAGAAGGAGCGAGCAGGAUCCAGAGUACCGCGGGGCACGUGAAAUCCCGUGGGAAGAUGGGGGGACCACCCUCCAAGCCUAAAUACUACUCAAUGACCGAUAGCGUAUAGUACUGUGAAGGAACGGUGAAAAGAACCCCGGGAGGGGAGUGAAAAGAACCUGAAACUCUGUGCUUACAAGCACAUAGAGCACGUCAAUGUGUGAUAUGGUACCUUUUGUAGAAUGGUCCGGCGAGUUAUGGUAUGCAGCAUGGUUAAGGACUUGAGGUCUGAAGCCGAAGCGAGAGCGAGUCUGACAAGGGCGAUAAGUUGUAUGCCAUAGACCCGAAACCGGGUGACCUAGCCAUGUCCAGGCUGAAGUGGAGGUAAAACUCCAUGGAGGGCCGAACCGACCUCCGUUGAAAAGGCGGCGGAUGAGAUGUGGCUAGCGGAGAAAUUCCAAUCGAACCCGGAUAUAGCUGGUUCUCCCCGAAAUAGCUUUAGGGCUAGCGUUGUAUUAGAUUACCGGAGGUAAAGCACUGAAUGGGCUAGGGGCUGAGAAGUUACUGAACCCUAUCAAACUAAGAAUGCCGGAUAAUUGAUGUACAGCAGUCAGACUAUGUGAGAUAAGUCUCAUAGUCAAAAGGGAAACAGCCCAGACCCACAGCUAAGGUCCCAAAAUGGAUUUAAGUGGAAAAGGAUGUGGAAUUGCACAGACAACCAGGAUGUUGGCUUAGAAGCAGCCACUCAUUAAAAGAGUGCGUAAUAGCUCACUGGUCGAGUGACCCUGCGCCGAAAAUUCAACGGGGCUAAACAAUGUACCGAAGCUUGGGAUUCUAGAUUUAUCUAGAGUGGUAGGAGAGCGUCGAAUAAGGGGUGAAGUCAGAGCGGAAGCGCUGGUGGACUUUAUUCGAGUGAGAAUGCCGGAAUGAGUAGCGAGAAUUAUGUGAGAAUCAUAAUGGCCGAAAGUCUAAGGUUUCCUGAGGAAGGUUCGUCCUCUCAGGGUUAGCCGGGAGCUAAGGUGAGGCGGAAACGCGUAGCCGAUGCACAUACGGUAGAAAUUCCGUAGCCUCCGAAGAUUUAAGCACAGGGACACUUUUGAAGGGCUGAGCCGGGCGUUGGUUGCCCCGGUCGAAAGGGACACGAUUGAGUGGAAGUCAGUUUGGAAAGAGGCGAGAAAAGCUGUGUGUAUAUGGAAGGAGCCCGUACCGCAAACCGACACAGGUAGACAGGAAGAAGAUUCUAAGGCCAGCGGGAGAAGGGUUGUUAAGGAACUCGGCAAGUUGACCCCGUAACUUCGGGAGAAGGGGUGCUUACGAAGGUAAGCCGCAGAGAAUAGGCCCAAGCGACUGUUUAGCAAAAACACAGCUCUAUGCUAAAUCGAAAGAUGACGUAUAUGGGGUGACACCUGCCCGGUGCUGGAAGGUUAAGAGGAGAUGUGAGAGCAUUGAAUUGAAGCCCCAGUAAACGGCGGCCGUAACUAUAACGGUCCUAAGGUAGCGAAAUUCCUUGUCAGGUAAGUUCUGACCCGCACGAAUGGUGUAACGAUCUGGACACUGUCUCAACAGCCCGCCCCGCGGCGUCGAUCGUCACCUCAAGCAUCGCCGACCGGUCGAUACUCUGCCCGAAGAUAAAAUUACCAAGGCUGUAGAAUACCGGCUUCCCUUCAAUAUAGGAGACCCCCUGCAGACAGUGGGUGUGCGAUCCCACAACCACAUCCGCCCCGGCGUCGAUACACGCCUUCGCGAUCUGUGUCUGGUUCGCCUCCGGAUAUGCCUGGUACUCCACGCCCCAAUGCGGAUAGACCGCCACAUAGUCGCAGGUCUCCCUCGCUUCCUUAAUUACCUCCACAAGAGCCGUGGUGUCAUAGCAGCUAAACAGUCCCGGCACUGCAUUUUCCACCUUCCAGUCCGCCGUCGGGACAACCCGGGAUACCGCGAUAAAUCCGUAUUUUUUCCCGUGGACUUCGAUUACCUGCACCUGCUUUGCCCGCUCCGCGGAACCGGGAAUUAUGUCGAC